Molecule: ribosomal RNA, 397 nt
Filed under: uncultured bacterium
Lineage: Bacteria
Description: partial 16S ribosomal RNA
Rfam family: Bacterial small subunit ribosomal RNA
Source: RNAcentral
AUACGUAGGUGGCAAGCGUUGCCCGGAAUUAUUGGGCGUAAAGCGCGCGCAGGCGGUCCUUUAAGUCUGAUGUGAAAGCCCACGGCUCAACCGUGGAGGGUCAUUGGAAACUGGGGGACUUGAGUGCAGAAGAGGAAAGUGGAAUUCCAAGUGUAGCGGUGAAAUGCGUAGAGAUUUGGAGGAACACCAGUGGCGAAGGCGACUUUCUGGUCUGUAACUGACGCUGAGGCGCGAAAGCGUGGGGAGCAAACAGGAUUAGAUACCCUGGUAGUCCACGCCGUAAACGAUGAGUGCUAAGUGUUAGGGGGUUUCCGCCCCUUAGUGCUGCAGCUAACGCAUUAAGCACUCCGCCUGGGGAGUACGGUCGCAAGACUGAAACUCAAAUGAAUUGACGGGG